RNAcentral lists this small RNA (218 nucleotides) under Pseudomonas sp. SJZ074. Its description in RNAcentral is "Pseudomonas sRNA P29". The record is from RNAcentral. RNAcentral also lists the same sequence under 5 other names. Lineage: Bacteria; Pseudomonadati; Pseudomonadota; Gammaproteobacteria; Pseudomonadales; Pseudomonadaceae.
CAGCACAAAGGGGAGCCGAAGCUCCCCUUUAAUUUUGUCGUCGCGUGCUCUUUUUUUAUUAUUGAGGGGCGGCCUGUUGUUGUUUUUGGUAGCCGUGACCCUUUACCGCUGUUUCUGGCGAUCCCCAUCCGGGAUCAAGAGCAAACGUAUUUUUUUGAACGCUGAUCUGCUUUUUCGCCUAGCGAUCCAACCGAUUCGGGGCCUACCUGAAGGUAGUU